Molecule: ribosomal RNA, 507 nt
Filed under: uncultured bacterium
Lineage: Bacteria
Description: bacterial SSU rRNA
Rfam family: Bacterial small subunit ribosomal RNA
Source: RNAcentral
CUAACACAUGCAAGUCGAGGGGCAGCGGGGGUAGCGAUACCCGCCGGCGACCGGCGCACGGGUGAGUAACGCGUAUGCAACUUGCCUAUCAGAGGGGGAUAACCCGGCGAAAGUCGGACUAAUACCGCAUGAAGCAUGGAUCCCGCAUGGGAAUAUUUGCUAAAGAUUCAUCGCUGAUAGAUAGGCAUGCGUUCCAUUAGGCAGUUGGCGGGGUAACGGCCCACCAAACCGACGAUGGAUAGGGGUUCUGAGAGGAAGGUCCCCCACAUUGGUACUGAGACACGGACCAAACUCCUACGGGAGGCAGCAGUGAGGAAUAUUGGUCAAUGGCCGAGAGGCUGAACCAGCCAAGUCGCGUGAGGGAUGAAGGUUCUAUGGAUCGUAAACCUCUUUUAUAAGGGAAUAAAGUGCGGGACGUGUCCCGUUUUGUAUGUACCUUAUGAAUAAGGAUCGGCUAACUCCGUGCCAGCAGCCGCGGUAAUACGGAGGAUCCGAGCGUUAUCCGGA